This 545-nucleotide long non-coding RNA is filed under the name Vombatus ursinus (common wombat). Its description in RNAcentral is "lncRNA (ENSVURG00010013893.1)". The record is from RNAcentral. Lineage: Eukaryota; Metazoa; Chordata; Mammalia; Diprotodontia; Vombatidae.
UUUCCAUUGAUCAUGAGCAUCCUGUAUAACUUCAGUUCCAAGACCAGGUGAUAUGUCAGGCUCAGUCUGUCCUGGUGGGAAGGCAGGCCAUGAGAAGGGGUCAUAGGACUCGUGGUAGGUUUCAUAGAAUCUGGUGGAGGUGGAACAUUCAGUUGGAUGACCAGCACUCCAAAGUAUGGAGUGGCACUCUGAUGGCAAGUCCUGGGGAAAGACCCAGCACCUCAUGCUAGUUCCGCUGCCAAGUCCUAUUCCUGUAAACAUUUUAUUCUGUUUCACUGGACUUCAGGCAGAAUUCCUGUUAGCUCGAUACGGGGCAUGUUGGCUGCUGGAGCCUAAACAAUCUGCAUGGAUGAGCAGGAAAUGCUGAAGUACUUGGGAGUCGCCAAAUUUGAGGACAAGCAGGAACAAGUAACCCAUCUUGUGUAUCAGGAAGAUGAUGCAGGAUUCUUUAUUUUAUUGUAAAAAUUUAUUCUGAACUUAGUGACCAUCACCAGAGACAUACAAACAAAAAUAAAAUGAAUUCUAUUAUUUAUUGUUUGCUAAAA